This 27-nucleotide non-coding RNA is filed under the name Bombyx mori (domestic silkworm). Lineage: Eukaryota; Metazoa; Arthropoda; Insecta; Lepidoptera; Bombycidae. The record is from RNAcentral.
UCUUGGUCUGGGCAAAGCGAUCGACGC